GAGCCAGUCGGGGGGCCUUGGAAUUGACCCUGCAGGAACCUCCACUGCUGUCUGGCCCCUGACCAGGUGCCUGCCCUCCCUGAGCCUGCUCCUGCACACACAAUGACGUGGGAAUGCCACCUCCAGCAUUGGCCUGGGGUCAGGGAGACCCACCCUGCAGAGCGCCUGGCCCAGCAGCUUCCCACUGAUGGCUUUCUGUCCCCAUCCCCUCCAGGACCUGAGCCCAGGACAACCGUUGUCUAAGCAGAUGGUCUCCCUGGGCCCAGGAUGGCAGAGAGGCCUCCCACCGUGUCUCGCCAAGCCCCGCAUCUCAGCUGGGCGGCUUGAGCUCGGCUCGCUCCGGAGUCCCCCUGGGUCAAGUCUGCCCACCUCCCUGCCCCGCCUGGGGGCAAGCAGAGCUCUCGGGGGCCGCCAGGUGACAUCCCCUGGAUGCGUCCCGAGGCUCUGCCAGCAUUGGCAGGUGGCAGGCCAGGAUGCGGGGGCGGGAGGGCCCAGCCUGGAGUAUUUAAAUAUUUGCUUUCUCAUAGAAUGGCAUUCUUCGGAAUAUUAGCCAAUUUGUAUAGAAUUCGUCAGCACCCAGCCCCCCGCUGCCGCAGGAUUCCAGGGGGCAGGAGGCGCCCGCAGCCUCACCCGACACAGGCUGUCCAGCAAGUCCCAGCCCAGGGCCUGUCCGCCUGCCCAGCAUGGGGGUGGGGUGGCAGGGGGUGGGCAGUGAUCCCGGACACCCCUGGGCCAGCUCGUGCCCUGCACAGGGCAGCUGCAGAGCCCUCCGAGCACCAGGGAGGUGGCUGCUGGCCCUUCCUUCACACACACGCCCUCACUCACAUGUACACGCUGGCCAAGCAAGCUCAGGCCAGCCCUGGCCACUGGGCCAAUGUCCCCAUGGGCCAGCCCAGGGACCACCAGGGAGGGACGCAGGAAAACCUGCCCAGCCCUCUGAUAGAGUUCCAGAGACACCCAUGGAAUCCAUAGAAGAGCUAAGUUCAAAUCCUAACACUCUUUUUACCUUUAUUUUAUUUACUUUUUCUUAAUGCGGUGCUGAGGAUCAAACCCAGUGCCUCACGCAUGCUAGGCAAGCACUCUACCUCUGAGCCACAACCCCAGCCCCCAAAUCCUGACACUCUUAACUUGCUG
This 1134-nucleotide long non-coding RNA is filed under the name Marmota monax (woodchuck). Lineage: Eukaryota; Metazoa; Chordata; Mammalia; Rodentia; Sciuridae. The record is from RNAcentral.